AAAUCGGAGGAAAAGAAACCAACCGGGAUUGCCUUAGUAACGGCGAGUGAAGCGGCAAAAGCUCAAAUUUGAAAUCUGGUACCUUCGGUGCCCGAGUUGUAAUUUGGAGAGGGCAACUUUGGGGCCGUUCCUUGUCUAUGUUCCUUGGAACAGGACGUCAUAGAGGGUGAGAAUCCCGUGUGGCGAGGAGUGCGGUUCUUUGUAAAGUGCCUUCGAAGAGUCGAGUUGUUUGGGAAUGCAGCUCUAAGUGGGUGGUAAAUUCCAUCUAAAGCUAAAUAUUGGCGAGAGACCGAUAGCGAACAAGUACAGUGAUGGAAAGAUGAAAAGAACUUUGAAAAGAGAGUGAAAAAGUACGUGAAAUUGUUGAAAGGGAAGGGCAUUUGAUCAGACAUGGUGUUUUGUGCCCUCUGCUCCUUGUGGGUAGGGGAAUCUCGCAUUUCACUGGGCCAGCAUCAGUUUUGGUGGCAGGAUAAAUCCAUAGGAAUGUAGCUUGCCUCGGUAAGUAUUAUAGCCUGUGGGAAUACUGCCAGCUGGGACUGAGGACUGCGACGUAAGUCAAGGAUGCUGGCAUAAUGGUUAUAUGCCGCCCGUCUGAA
RNAcentral lists this ribosomal RNA (596 nucleotides) under Saccharomyces cerevisiae (brewer's yeast). RNAcentral's name for it is "partial large subunit ribosomal RNA". It matches the Rfam family "Eukaryotic large subunit ribosomal RNA", at positions 47 to 657 of the family's 3401-position model. The record is from RNAcentral. Lineage: Eukaryota; Fungi; Ascomycota; Saccharomycetes; Saccharomycetales; Saccharomycetaceae.